This 424-nucleotide ribosomal RNA is filed under the name uncultured Chroococcales cyanobacterium. Its description in RNAcentral is "bacterial SSU rRNA". It matches the Rfam family "Bacterial small subunit ribosomal RNA", at positions 355 to 794 of the family's 1533-position model. Lineage: Bacteria; Bacillati; Cyanobacteriota; Cyanophyceae; Chroococcales. The record is from RNAcentral.
UGGGGAAUUUUCCGCAAUGGGCGAAAGCCUGACGGAGCAACGCCGCGUGAGGGAUGAAGGCCUCUGGGCUGUAAACCUCUUUUCUCAAGGAAGAAGAUCUGACGGUACUUGAGGAAUAAGCCACGGCUAAUUCCGUGCCAGCAGCCGCGGUAAUACGGGAGUGGCAAGCGUUAUCCGGAAUUAUUGGGCGUAAAGCGUCCGCAGGCGGCCUCGUAAGUCUGUCGUUAAAGCGUGGAGCUUAACUCCAUUUCAGCGAUGGAAACUGCGAGGCUAGAGUGUGGUAGGGGCAGAGGGAAUUCCCGGUGUAGCGGUGAAAUGCGUAGAUAUCGGGAAGAACACCAGUGGCGAAGGCGCUCUGCUGGGCCAUAACUGACGCUCAUGGACGAAAGCCAGGGGAGCGAAAGGGAUUAGAUUCCCCUGUAGU